UACGUAGGGUGCAAGCGUUGUCCGGAAUUAUUGGGCGUAAAGAGCUCGUAGGCGGUCUGUUACGUCGGCUGUGAAAACCUGGAGCUCAACUCCGGGCCUGCAGUCGAUACGGGCGGACUUGAGUGUUGCAGGGGAGACUGGAAUUCCUGGUGUAGCGGUGAAAUGCGCAGAUAUCAGGAGGAACACCGGUGGCGAAGGCGGGUCUCUGGGCCGUAACUGACGCUGAGGAGCGAAAGCAUGGGGAGCGAACAGG
RNAcentral lists this ribosomal RNA (253 nucleotides) under uncultured bacterium. RNAcentral describes it as "partial 16S ribosomal RNA". It matches the Rfam family "Bacterial small subunit ribosomal RNA", at positions 524 to 776 of the family's 1533-position model. The record is from RNAcentral.